This 253-nucleotide ribosomal RNA is filed under the name uncultured bacterium. Its description in RNAcentral is "partial 16S ribosomal RNA". It matches the Rfam family "Bacterial small subunit ribosomal RNA", at positions 524 to 776 of the family's 1533-position model. The record is from RNAcentral.
UACAGAGGUGGCAAGCGUUGUUCGGAAUUACUGGGCGUAAAGGGCGCGUAGGCGGCCUUCUAAGUCAGACGUGAAAUCCCUCGGCUCAACCGGGGAACUGCGUCUGAGACUGGAAGGCUUGAAUUCGGGAGAGGGAUGCAGAAUUCCAGGUGUAGCGGUGAAAUGCGUAGAUAUCUGGAGGAAUACCGGUGGCGAAGGCGGCAUCCUGGACCGAGAUUGACGCUGAACGACGAAAGCUAGGGGAGCAAACGGG